Molecule: ribosomal RNA, 250 nt
Filed under: uncultured Stenotrophomonas sp.
Lineage: Bacteria; Pseudomonadati; Pseudomonadota; Gammaproteobacteria; Lysobacterales; Lysobacteraceae
Description: partial 16S ribosomal RNA
Rfam family: Bacterial small subunit ribosomal RNA
Source: RNAcentral
CGGGUGAGGAAUACAUCGGAAUCUACUCUGUCGUGGGGGAUAACGUAGGGAAACUUACGCUAAUACCGCAUACGACCUACGGGUGAAAGCAGGGGAUCUUCGGACCUUGCGCGAUUGAAUGAGCCGAUGUCGGAUUAGCUAGUUGGUGAGGUAAUGGCUCACCAAGGCGACGAUCCGUAACUGGUCUGAGAGGAUGAUCAGUCACACUGGAACUGAGACACGGUCCAGACUCCUACGGGAGGCAGCAGAU